This 2923-nucleotide ribosomal RNA is filed under the name Staphylococcus aureus. RNAcentral's name for it is "bacterial LSU rRNA". It matches the Rfam family "Bacterial large subunit ribosomal RNA". The record is from RNAcentral. Lineage: Bacteria; Bacillati; Bacillota; Bacilli; Caryophanales; Staphylococcaceae.
UUAAGUUAUUAAGGGCGCACGGUGGAUGCCUUGGCACUAGAAGCCGAUGAAGGACGUUACUAACGACGAUAUGCUUUGGGGAGCUGUAAGUAAGCUUUGAUCCAGAGAUUUCCGAAUGGGGAAACCCAGCAUGAGUUAUGUCAUGUUAUCGAUAUGUGAAUACAUAGCAUAUCAGAAGGCACACCCGGAGAACUGAAACAUCUUAGUACCCGGAGGAAGAGAAAGAAAAUUCGAUUCCCUUAGUAGCGGCGAGCGAAACGGGAAGAGCCCAAACCAACAAGCUUGCUUGUUGGGGUUGUAGGACACUCUAUACGGAGUUACAAAGGACGACAUUAGACGAAUCAUCUGGAAAGAUGAAUCAAAGAAGGUAAUAAUCCUGUAGUCGAAAAUGUUGUCUCUCUUGAGUGGAUCCUGAGUACGACGGAGCACGUGAAAUUCCGUCGGAAUCUGGGAGGACCAUCUCCUAAGGCUAAAUACUCUCUAGUGACCGAUAGUGAACCAGUACCGUGAGGGAAAGGUGAAAAGCACCCCGGAAGGGGAGUGAAAUAGAACCUGAAACCGUGUGCUUACAAGUAGUCAGAGCCCGUUAAUGGGUGAUGGCGUGCCUUUUGUAGAAUGAACCGGCGAGUUACGAUUUGAUGCAAGGUUAAGCAGUAAAUGUGGAGCCGUAGCGAAAGCGAGUCUGAAUAGGGCGUUUAGUAUUUGGUCGUAGACCCGAAACCAGGUGAUCUACCCUUGGUCAGGUUGAAGUUCAGGUAACACUGAAUGGAGGACCGAACCGACUUACGUUGAAAAGUGAGCGGAUGAACUGAGGGUAGCGGAGAAAUUCCAAUCGAACCUGGAGAUAGCUGGUUCUCUCCGAAAUAGCUUUAGGGCUAGCCUCAAGUGAUGAUUAUUGGAGGUAGAGCACUGUUUGGACGAGGGGCCCCUCUCGGGUUACCGAAUUCAGACAAACUCCGAAUGCCAAUUAAUUUAACUUGGGAGUCAGAACAUGGGUGAUAAGGUCCGUGUUCGAAAGGGAAACAGCCCAGACCACCAGCUAAGGUCCCAAAAUAUAUGUUAAGUGGAAAAGGAUGUGGCGUUGCCCAGACAACUAGGAUGUUGGCUUAGAAGCAGCCAUCAUUUAAAGAGUGCGUAAUAGCUCACUAGUCGAGUGACACUGCGCCGAAAAUGUACCGGGGCUAAACAUAUUACCGAAGCUGUGGAUUGUCCUUUGGACAAUGGUAGGAGAGCGUUCUAAGGGCGUUGAAGCAUGAUCGUAAGGACAUGUGGAGCGCUUAGAAGUGAGAAUGCCGGUGUGAGUAGCGAAAGACGGGUGAGAAUCCCGUCCACCGAUUGACUAAGGUUUCCAGAGGAAGGCUCGUCCGCUCUGGGUUAGUCGGGUCCUAAGCUGAGGCCGACAGGCGUAGGCGAUGGAUAACAGGUUGAUAUUCCUGUACCACCUAUAAUCGUUUUAAUCGAUGGGGGGACGCAGUAGGAUAGGCGAAGCGUGCNNNAUUGGAUUGCACGUCUAAGCAGUAAGGCUGAGUAUUAGGCAAAUCCGGUACUCGUUAAGGCUGAGCUGUGAUGGGGAGAAGACAUUGUGUCUUCGAGUCGUUGAUUUCACACUGCCGAGAAAAGCCUCUAGAUAGAAAAUAGGUGCCCGUACCGCAAACCGACACAGGUAGUCAAGAUGAGAAUUCUAAGGUGAGCGAGCGAACUCUCGUUAAGGAACUCGGCAAAAUGACCCCGUAACUUCGGGAGAAGGGGUGCUCUUUAGGGUUAACGCCCAGAAGAGCCGCAGUGAAUAGGCCCAAGCGACUGUUUAUCAAAAACACAGGUCUCUGCUAAACCGUAAGGUGAUGUAUAGGGGCUGACGCCUGCCCGGUGCUGGAAGGUUAAGAGGAGUGGUUAGCUUCUGCGAAGCUACGAAUCGAAGCCCCAGUAAACGGCGGCCGUAACUAUAACGGUCCUAAGGUAGCGAAAUUCCUUGUCGGGUAAGUUCCGACCCGCACGAAAGGCGUAACGAUUUGGGCACUGUCUCAACGAGAGACUCGGUGAAAUCAUAGUACCUGUGAAGAUGCAGGUUACCCGCGACAGGACGGAAAGACCCCGUGGAGCUUUACUGUAGCCUGAUAUUGAAAUUCGGCACAGCUUGUACAGGAUAGGUAGGAGCCUUUGAAACGUGAGCGCUAGCUUACGUGGAGGCGCUGGUGGGAUACUACCCUAGCUGUGUUGGCUUUCUAACCCGCACCACUUAUCGUGGUGGGAGACAGUGUCAGGCGGGCAGUUUGACUGGGGCGGUCGCCUCCUAAAAGGUAACGGAGGCGCUCAAAGGUUCCCUCAGAAUGGUUGGAAAUCAUUCAUAGAGUGUAAAGGCAUAAGGGAGCUUGACUGCGAGACCUACAAGUCGAGCAGGGUCGAAAGACGGACUUAGUGAUCCGGUGGUUCCGCAUGGAAGGGCCAUCGCUCAACGGAUAAAAGCUACCCCGGGGAUAACAGGCUUAUCUCCCCCAAGAGUUCACAUCGACGGGGAGGUUUGGCACCUCGAUGUCGGCUCAUCGCAUCCUGGGGCUGUAGUCGGUCCCAAGGGUUGGGCUGUUCGCCCAUUAAAGCGGUACGCGAGCUGGGUUCAGAACGUCGUGAGACAGUUCGGUCCCUAUCCGUCGUGGGCGUAGGAAAUUUGAGAGGAGCUGUCCUUAGUACGAGAGGACCGGGAUGGACAUACCUCUGGUGUACCAGUUGUCGUGCCAACGGCAUAGCUGGGUAGCUAUGUGUGGACGGGAUAAGUGCUGAAAGCAUCUAAGCAUGAAGCCCCCCUCAAGAUGAGAUUUCCCAACUUCGGUUAUAAGAUCCCUCAAAGAUGAUGAGGUUAAUAGGUUCGAGGUGGAAGCAUGGUGACAUGUGGAGCUGACGAAUACUAAUCGAUCGAAGACUUAAUCAA